GGUAGGGCCUCCGGACCUGGUGGCCGGCCCGGUCUUCAAAACCGGUGAGGGGCGCCGAAAGGCGUCCCUGGCGAGUUCGAUUCCCGUGCCCUACCGCCA
Molecule: transfer RNA, 99 nt
Filed under: Myxococcus xanthus
Lineage: Bacteria; Pseudomonadati; Myxococcota; Myxococcia; Myxococcales; Myxococcaceae
Also listed under: 1 other name
Description: tRNA-Sec
Rfam family: Selenocysteine transfer RNA
Source: RNAcentral